UGUCGGGGUAACGGCCCAACAAGCCAGUAAUCGGUACGGGUUGUGGGAGCAAGAGCCCGGAGUUGGAUUCUGAGACACGAAUCCAGGCCCUACGGGGCGCAGCAGGCGCGAAAACUUUACAAUGCGGGCAACCGUGAUAAGGGAACCUCGAGUGCCUGUAUAUGCAGGCUGUCUGGGUGUCUAAAACACACCUAAAGAAAGGGCCGGGCAAGACCGGUGCCAGCCGCCGCGGUAAUACCGGCGGCUCGAGUGGUGGCCACUUUUAUUGGGCUUAAAGCGUUCGUAGCUGGGUUAUUAAGUCCCUUGGGAAAUCCGACGGCUUAACCGUCGGGCGUCUAAGGGAUACUGGCAAUCUUGGAACCGGGAGAGGUGAGGGGUACUUCGGGGGUAGGAGUGAAAUCCUGUAAUCCUCGAGGGACCACCUGUGGCGAAGGCGCCUCACCAGAACGGCUUCGACAGUGAGGGACGAAAGCUGGGGGAGCAAACCGGAUUAGAU
This 496-nucleotide ribosomal RNA is filed under the name uncultured microorganism. Its description in RNAcentral is "bacterial SSU rRNA". It matches the Rfam family "Archaeal small subunit ribosomal RNA", at positions 234 to 734 of the family's 1478-position model. The record is from RNAcentral.